CAGCGGCCGCAGCGUAAUGACGAGACGGGGCUGGAAAAGACAAACCCAGAUGCUGCGUGGAGGAAAAAAAGAGGAAACCAGAUGAAUGAUGAUGAAUGAAUAUUGAGAGAAAAAUCAGGGAGAAAGAAAUCGAUGUGUUGACAGCGCGGAGAGAUUGAAUUAGCAGCUGCAGCGCCGGCACCAGCGGCUCAGAUGAGCGGCUACCUGCAGGCCGCAGGGACCGCGGCUCCGCUGCUUCCACCACACACGGCAGCCCAUAAUAUGCAUUACUGCAGGACAGUCAAAACCAGGGGAAAGUCUGAGUUUCGAUUUCCACAGGGAGUUUAAAAAGUCCUAUUUCAGCGUUCUUUUUCUUAUUGCCAGAACACCACUAUAAUCAGUAUUUGUAACUGUAACAAUUGCAGUUUAAAACGCCGACACCUGACAUCUCAGAAUACCAUGAACAGUUUCAAAUGAUGUGGCGAUUAAAGGUGAUGGGCAAAUUCUUUAAGAUGUAAUUAUUUGCGGCUUCAUGACGCUGUAAAAAUCGGAACACGUCUGCAAAUGUGUUGUCAGGCAGUACAUAAUGUCAUAUAAUGCCGCUGUUGCUCAAUAAUUUGAACGCAGACGUGGGUGCAGGCCGACGUCAUCAGAACGCAAACAGCGUCCCCCCUAAAACAGUCAGCUGUCUCGUCUCUUCUCUGCUCAUGUUGCACACAGUGAAUGCCUGUGGCCUUACAGGCAGGUGUCCGCUCCCUCUUCUGUCCAGGUAAGCGCUUUAUGAACUGCCUUGUAAAACCCCGCAUCACCCUGAAACCGCACUGGGAACGGACACGGAUUAAUGUGUGUCUUGAAGGAGAAAUAUGGCGGACGAAAGUGAAGCUGAUCCAGAAAAAAAAACCCUGCUCAUGUUCCCGAGUCACAUC
Long non-coding RNA from Siniperca chuatsi (mandarin fish), 905 nucleotides. RefSeq lists it as uncharacterized. The transcript is spliced from 2 exons. The record is from RefSeq and is a predicted model, not a curated record. NCBI's taxonomy places the organism in Eukaryota, Metazoa, Chordata, Actinopteri, Centrarchiformes, Sinipercidae.